AAGUCGUAACAAGGUUUCCGUAGGUGAACCUGCGGAAGGAUCAUUAAAAAAUAAUCCUUUGGAUUAUAAAUCCAUACCCACCUUUUGUGUACUGUAACUUGUCCAUUGCUUUUCUUCCCGGAUUUUUUUCGUCGGCGAGGUCUCUUUGGGGGCUUUGAUGUCGGGAUGCCGGGGAGGAGAGCGAUAUAUCACACACGUUUAUCUUUUACCAAGUCUGAAGUACAACUUUUUGCGAAAGCAGAAAUUAUUAAAACAACUUUCAACAACGGAUCUCUUGGCUCCC
RNAcentral lists this unclassified non-coding RNA (283 nucleotides) under fungal sp. RNAcentral describes it as "partial internal transcribed spacer region". The stretch from base 1 to 46 matches the Rfam family "Eukaryotic small subunit ribosomal RNA", at positions 1786 to 1831 of the family's 1831-position model. Lineage: Eukaryota; Fungi. The record is from RNAcentral.